UACGGAGGGUGCGAGCGUUGUCCGGAAUCACUGGGCGUAAAGAGCGUGUAGGCGGCCAUACAGGUCAGCUGUGAAAACUCGAGGCUCAACCUCGAGACGUCGGUUGAAACCGUAUGGCUAGAGUCCGGAAGAGGAGAGUGGAAUUCCCGGUGUAGCGGUGAAAUGCGCAGAUAUCGGGAAGAACACCCGUGGCGAAGGCGGCUCUCUGGGACGGUACUGACGCUGAGACGCGAAAGCGUGGGGAGCGAACAGG
Molecule: ribosomal RNA, 253 nt
Filed under: uncultured bacterium
Lineage: Bacteria
Description: partial 16S ribosomal RNA
Rfam family: Bacterial small subunit ribosomal RNA
Source: RNAcentral